GAUGAACGCUGGCGGCGUGCUUAACACAUGCAAGUCGAACGGAAAGGCUCCUGCUUGCCGGGGUACUCGAGUGGCGAACGGGUGAGUAACACGUGGGUGAUCUGCCCUGCACUUCGGGAUAAGCUUGGGAAACUGGGUCUAAUACCGGAUAGGACCGCAUUAUGGAUGGUGUGGUGGAAAGUUUUUUCGGUGUGGGAUGAGCUCGCGGCCUAUCAGCUUGUUGGUGGGGUAAUGGCCUACCAAGGCGUCGACGGGUAGCCGGCCUGAGAGGGUGUACGGCCACAUUGGGACUGAGAUACGGCCCAGACUCCUACGGGAGGCAGCAGUGGGGAAUAUUGCACAAUGGGCGCAAGCCUGAUGCAGCGACGCCGCGUGGGGGAUGACGGCCUUCGGGUUGUAAACUCCUUUCGCUAGGGACGAAGAGUAAUUGACGGUACCUGGAGAAGAAGCACCGGCUAACUACGUG
Molecule: ribosomal RNA, 466 nt
Filed under: uncultured bacterium
Lineage: Bacteria
Description: partial 16S ribosomal RNA
Rfam family: Bacterial small subunit ribosomal RNA
Source: RNAcentral